RNAcentral lists this long non-coding RNA (4415 nucleotides) under Xyrichtys novacula (pearly razorfish). Lineage: Eukaryota; Metazoa; Chordata; Actinopteri; Labriformes; Labridae. The record is from RNAcentral.
GUUGGUGCUGAUGAGAGCUAACAAUAAUUUUGCAUCCACUUAAAAAGCUGAUUUUGCUGACUGAAAAUGUUGAAGUCCCUCACUACAAAACAAAAACUCAAACUUAAACUCACGUUAACUAAGAAAGUUUUGAAAAUAAAUGUCUGCAAUCCCUGAAGUGGUGGGAUGAAGAGGCUGUGAGCUGAGCUGUCAAAAACCAUCGGAGUCCCCCUUUUCAAAACAAAAAUAGUCAUGAAAACCAGUAUCAACACUUUGAAAGAUGCACAAAUAAUAAACCAACAAGGACAGAGGAGAAGACAGGGAACAUAUACAUACACUGGGAAACGAGCAACGGGUGAGGCAGAGGAGACACAGGUGAGACUCAUGGGUGAUUGACAAAGGAGGGAAAACUAGGGAAGUAAAACCAAAAUAGAAACACAAGGAAUCAACUCUUAGAAAAUAAAACAGGAAAUAAACUCUAAAAACUGAUCUAAAGAAUAAAACACUGAGAACAGGAGGGAAACAGGGUCAAAGACAAACUGAAAACUCUCAAGACUGGACUACAGGGGAACAGGAACAAGAGGGGAAAAUACACAAAAUGAACUCAAAUAAAACCAGAAGAAAACUAAAUAAACUGAACAUAUCAUGACAGUAAUGUGUUGGUCAGCAUAAAACCGCGUGUCACAUGAUUAAGGUGGUGCUGCAGAGAUCUGUGAGAGUCAUAUCUGUGAUUUUUCAUGUUUAGGAGCAGAAACCAGAGAGCAGAAGGUGAUUCAUGAGUUUAACUGUCUUCAGCAGGUGUGUCAUCUCUCUGAAAAAUAGAGAAGGAUUUGUGUUUGUCUUCACUUGUCCAGUCCCAGGUGUCUUUGUCCACUAGAUGUCGCUGUUUCACUCGUGAUUAUAUUUCUCUCUGUGUUGUUUCUUGUGUUUAAUGACAGUCAGGGAGUAUAAAGUGCACCAUGAGACCUCUCUAAUCCCUCUGAGAAGGUUUUCUUGUGUCUGUCAAUGUUUGACUGCAGGUGUUCAGGUGGUUGAGUCCAAAGUCGAGAGCUGCGCUGUGAUCACAUUUCCUUCCAGAAGACUUCAGUGUGAAGAUGAACUCGGAGAGUCUGGACUGGAUGUGAAUGGUGGGACCUUUGAAAACCUCCUGCUGUCACUUCCAUCUUUCUUCUCUCUCUGCUUGGUUUCCUGUUUGAAGCUGCUGAUUCGUCUCACCGUCACUCGUGGUCUUCAUGCAGAUUAUUUUCCCCAUCAGAAGGUAACCUAACACACUCUUUUCAUCAUGUUUGAGUGAGCGUCUGUUAAACUGAUCUGAGGACAGCACAUGUGAAGCUUCUGCAGAUCUGACAUGUCGUUUUGUGACUGCAUUGGUGGAACAGAGGCGAACACAGAGGAAAGGAGAAAAUCUCUGUUUAAAGACUGAUGUACAUGUAGGAGCAGAACUAAGUCAAGACUAUGGACCUCAGACUUCUACCAACAAACACAAUCACAGGGAUCAGAUUGAAUACAGGAGUGCUGAUGUAUUGCUGUAUUUGCUCGGUGAAAACAGAAGAAACAGGAACAGGUUCAAGUCAGACUGAACAAAACUUGAGUUAAACUUUUAAACACUUUGUUUUAGUGUUUGUAAAAGUCUUUGUGUGCUGAGCACUUUGAUGAGUUUAUGAGUUUAUGAUGGUAUCAAAGGUCAGUCAUUGGCUCUCUUUAAAGCUGAGCACAGUCAACAACCAGUGUGAUAAACUUCAGUCAGUGUCCACUCUACAGCAGCAACAGUUUGAACUCCUUCACAGGAGCAAUGGUUAGUGAGGAGCUGCUCAGAAAGAAGGUGAAAAAAAAGCUCCAAGAAAAGCUCUCUCAAUGUUUCUCAAGCUCUCAGUAUUUUUAUCUGUUUUGGUUUUCAUGGUUUCCCUCAUACACACAGACUCUGAAUAUAUCGGCACAGAAUUGUCUUCAACUCAAAAACUCAGUCAGCAGAGCAGCGUUGGUGCCUAAUCAUCUGAUAUCCAACCAUCAUCCAUAAACUGAGGACUCACAUUUGAUUGUCCUCAGUCCUUUGAAAUCAAAAAGUCCUUUGAUCAAAAACCUUUGACAGCCCUGUUUCCUCCAAUUACUCACCAUCUCUGAGGUGAAAACCAAUAAUUAAUCCUCACUCAGAUAUGGAAAAAUGAAUCCACACACUCAUCCUCUCCAGAACAGACUCACUCUUUGACGGCAUCGACCAUUAAACACUUUUCCCCUGUCUGAGUCCUUGAAAAAGCAGCAGCUGGGCUUCUCACUGGUUUGAACAGACAACAUCCCAUCACCUCCAUCCCAGCUUCCUUUGUUUGAGGAUUGACUUGAAGAUUCAAAGCUCUUCUGGGUCUGGCUCAUAGAUCUGAAAUGUUGACCCCCCCAUGAGGCCAGCCUGCAGUCUGAGACCCUUAGGCCCAUAUGGCUGUUCCAAAGAGACUGAAUACUUAGGGAAUCAUGUUUUUCCAUCAGGGCUCCUCCACUCUGAAAGGACCUGUCUGAGGAGAUCAGGUUUACAGAAUCAGUGUUAUCUUUAAAACCACUUCUUCAAAUCGAUUCUCUAGACUUGUUUUUUGGUGAAAUCCUCCUUUAAUUGGCCUUUUUUACUCUGACUUUUUCCAUCCAUCCAUCCAUCCAUCCAUCUUCCACCGCUAAUUUGGGAUCAGGUUGCAGGACCGGAAGCAGCCUGAACAGAGAAGCCUGGACUUCCCUCUCCCCAGCCACCUGCAAGGCGUGCGGGAUGCAUCCUGAUUAGAUGCCAAAGCCACCUCAUCUGACUCCUCUCAGUGCGGAGGAGCAGCGGCUCUACUCCAAUGACCGAGCUUCUCACCCUUUCUCUAAGGGAGAGCCCAGCCACCCUGCAGAGGAAACUAAUUUCAGUUGUUCGUACUUGCGAUCUUCACCUUCGGUCACUAACCCACAGCUCGUGACCGAAGCUGAGUGUAGAAACGUAGAUCAACCGGUAUAUCCAGAGCUUUGCCUUUCGGCUCAGCUCCCACUUUACCAUGACAGAUCUGUGCAGCAUCCGCAUCGCUGUUGACAUGACACCGAUCUGUCUGUUUAUCUCCCGCUCCAUUCUUCCCUCAUAUGUGAACAAGACCCCGAGAUAUCUGAACUUCUCCACUUAAGGCAGGAUCUCAUCUCCAACCCUGAGAAGGCACUCCACCUUUUUCCGGCUGAGAACUGUGGACUCAGAUUUGGAGGUGCUGAUUCUCAUCCCAGCCGCUUCACACUCAGCUGCGAACCAAUCCAGAGAGAGCUGAAGGUCACGGCCUCUUUUAUUUCUCUUUAUUCUUCUACAGGUUUGAGGUCUCUCAGUUUCUACAUUUGCCGUCACCAACUUCUUUCUUCUUGUUGCUCUGCUUUUCUUUGACGACUUCUUGGCUUGUAUUAUUGAAUUUCAAUGCACUCAUUCCUUUGAUGGCUUUGUCUCUUUAUUUAUGCAGUUGUUAUUUAUGGAGCUUGAACCUCUUUGCUGUGUUUUAAUCAUCUUUGUUAGACUUUCAGGCCUGAACAUGUUUCAUUGUUUUGAACUCUUUUAGUCACAGUCAUGUUGUUCGCUUCUCGUGUUGCUUCGGUUCUUAUGAUGUCGGGUCCAUAUGUUGCUCGGCUUUUCCUGGUUCUGUGGGUUCUCCGUCUUUGGGGUCCUUGUGCUGAAAACGUGCAUGAAUAUAAUGAAUAUGAAAAUAUGAAAUAAAUCACUGUUAUUAAUCAGACAAUAAUCUGUUUCUGGAGUCAUGGAGGAUAUUUAUUACAGCAUGUCCAGAUUAUUUCUUUGCUCCUGUUUCACUCGCUCUCUCGUUUCCUCUUAUUUAGUCUCUCUGAUUUGAGUUGUUGUUAAUGAGUAACAUCAAGGUUGAAUUCAUUCAACAAUUAAUCAUUCAAAACAUCAUCUUUACAAUCCUGAUCAAUCUAAUUAGAGGGUUAAACUCCAGACCAGAUAACACCAGAUAUGAAACGUCCAUAUCACUAAAAACCUGAUUUAUGAAAUACAAUCAGACCCUGCAGAGAUGCUACGACAUGAAUAUACAGAUUAUUUCUAUCAAUCAUGCUCCAGCUUCUGUUUUUCAUAGAACACUGAAAUACAGAAGCACAUCAGCAAACUCAAUCCAACACUGAACUUUGAGGAGUUUCAGAAAAACUGAUGUUUCAAACAAACGCUCCAAUUUCAACAAAGACUUCAGCUUUGUCUGCUGCUUUUAAAAUGACCAUCAUCCAUCAGCUGAGCUCUGAUUGGCAGCUUUCAUGUGGUACUAAACCCAUUCUCUGUCUUUGAAAGGUUUCUGAUCGUAAACAUGAGCAGAGUAUUGACCUUUUCCUUUAAACCUGAUCGAUCAAUAACAACAGAGGACCAUGAUGUCUGUCUUUUCUGAGAGCUUUCCUUUGCUGUCUGAUCUCCUCUGGAAUAAAAAGGAGAGAACUGCUCAGGA